Molecule: small nucleolar RNA, 102 nt
Filed under: Cavia porcellus (domestic guinea pig)
Lineage: Eukaryota; Metazoa; Chordata; Mammalia; Rodentia; Caviidae
Description: Small nucleolar RNA U13
Rfam family: Small nucleolar RNA U13
Source: Rfam by way of RNAcentral
AUCCUCAGGUUCAUAAGUGUGAUGAUUGGGUGCUCAUGCUCCAUGCAUGACAUGUGCCUCCUUUGAACCUUGUUACGACCUCGGCACAUUACCCAUCUGACG